GUGGCCUUCCCGUCACCGAAGCCCUGCGUUCCACGCGGGGUAUUGAUGUAGGUGGCGGCGGGGCCAU
This 67-nucleotide non-coding RNA is filed under the name unclassified sequences. Its description in RNAcentral is "DUF3800-VIII RNA". It matches the Rfam family "DUF3800-VIII RNA". From Rfam's summary of the family: Bacteroidetes, Cyanobacteria, Firmicutes, Planctomycetes (1 example), Proteobacteria, Tenericutes (1 example). Nearby to DUF3800 The record is from Rfam by way of RNAcentral.